Molecule: ribosomal RNA, 468 nt
Filed under: uncultured bacterium
Lineage: Bacteria
Description: partial 16S ribosomal RNA
Rfam family: Bacterial small subunit ribosomal RNA
Source: RNAcentral
GACGAACGCUGGCGGCGUGCUUAACACAUGCAAGUCGAACGGAAAGGCCCUGCUUUUGUGGGGUGCUCGAGUGGCGAACGGGUGAGUAACACGUGAGUAACCUGCCCUUGACUUUGGGAUAACUUCAGGAAACUGGGGCUAAUACCGGAUAGGAGCUCCUGCUGCAUGGUGGGGGUUGGAAAGUUUCGGCGGUUGGGGAUGGACUCGCGGCUUAUCAGCUUGUUGGUGGGGUAGUGGCUUACCAAGGCUUUGACGGGUAGCCGGCCUGAGAGGGUGACCGGCCACAUUGGGACUGAGAUACGGCCCAGACUCCGACGGGAGGCAGCAGUGGGGAAUAUUGCACAAUGGGCGGAAGCCUGAUGCAGCAACGCCGCGUGCGGGAUGACGGACUUCGGGUUGUAAACCGCUUUCGCCUGUGACGAAGCGUGAGUGACGGUAAUGGGUAAAGAAGCACCGGCUAACUACGUG